GAUGAACGCUGGCGGCGUGCCUAAUACAUGCAAGUCGAGCGAGCAGAUAAGGAGCUUGCUCCUUUGACGUUAGCGGCGGACGGGUGAGUAACACGUGGGUAACCUACCUAUAAGACUGGGAUAACUUCGGGAAACCGGAGCUAAUACCGGAUAACAUUUGGAACCGCAUGGUUCUAAAGUGAAAGAUGGUUUUGCUAUCACUUAUAGAUGGACCCGCGCCGUAUUAGCUAGUUGGUAAGGUAACGGCUUACCAAGGCGACGAUACGUAGCCGACCUGAGAGGGUGAUCGGCCACACUGGAACUGAGACACGGUCCAGACUCCUACGGGAGGCAGCAGUAGGGAAUCUUCCGCAAUGGGCGAAAGCCUGACGGAGCAACGCCGCGUGAGUGAUGAAGGGUUUCGGCUCGUAAAACUCUGUUAUUAGGGAAGAACAAAUGUGUAAGUAACUGUGCACGUCUUGACGGUACCUAAUCAGAAAGCCACGGCUAACUACGUG
Molecule: ribosomal RNA, 497 nt
Filed under: uncultured bacterium
Lineage: Bacteria
Description: partial 16S ribosomal RNA
Rfam family: Bacterial small subunit ribosomal RNA
Source: RNAcentral